Long non-coding RNA from Pantherophis guttatus, 810 nucleotides. RefSeq lists it as uncharacterized. The record is from RefSeq and is a predicted model, not a curated record. Lineage: Eukaryota; Metazoa; Chordata; Lepidosauria; Squamata; Colubridae.
UCGGAUGGAUUUUCGGCGUGUGCUUCUUUUUAUUCUCGAUUGCGUGAAGGAUGAGUUGUUACAAGAAACAACUUUUCACCUACCAGGAAUUUCGAGUUGGAGGCCAUUAUGCAUGUGAUACCACUGUGGCUCCUAUUGGUUCAUCAGUGGCUUACGUCGCCAAGUUCUUUGGCAACACAUUUUUGUCAUUUGAACACUCUUCUAUCACUGGAUUUACAACUGAUGAGAAGCCAGAUAAGCUUAUGGCACAUACAAGACUGAAACUACUAUUUAAAGCAGGAUUGUUCAACCCUGGCAACUUUAAAUUGCUUUAAACUUUACAAUUGCUACCAACCUGCCUUCCAUUGAGGACCUGUAUACUGCACGAGUCAAAAAGAGGGCUGUGAAAAUAUUUACAGACCCCUCACAUCCUGGACAUAAACUGUUUCAACUCCUACCCUCAAAAUGACGCUAUAGAGCACUGCAUACCAGAACAGCUAGACACAAGAACAGUUUUUUCCCAGACGCCAUCACUCUGCUAAACAAAUAAUUCCUUCAACACUGUCAAACUAGUUACUAAGUCUGCACUACUAUUAAUCUUCUCAUCGUUCCCAUCACCCAUCUCCUUCCACUUAUGAUUGUAUGACUUAACUUUGUUGCUUGUUUCCUUACGAUUUAUAUUGAUAUUGUUUCCUGAUUACUUAUUUGUACCCUAUAACUAUCAUUAAGUGUUGUAGUUUAUGAUUCUUUAUGAAUGUAUCUUUUCUUUUAUGUACACUGAGAGCGUAUGCACCAAGACAAAUUCCUUGGCCAAUAAAAAAAUAAAUUCUA